CCAGCACCUGCGGUAAUUCCAGCUCCAAUAGCGUAUACUAAAGUUGUUGCAGUUAAAAAGCUCGUAGUUGGAUUUCUGUGGGGGCGGAGCGGCCGGCCGCAACUCGCGGUUCGAGCUAGCGCUUCCCCUACAUCCUGCCGCGAACCGUGCUACCAUUAAUUUGGUGGCGCCGGGGAUCGGCUCGUUUACUUUGAGAAAAAUAGAGUGUUCAAAGCAGGCCACGCGCCUUGAAUAAGUUAGCAUGGAAUAAUAAUAAAGGACUUCGGUUCUAUUUUGUUGGUGUUCGGGACUGAAGUAAUGAUUGAUAGGGACAGUUGGGGCGGUCAGUAUUCCAAAGCGAGAGAUGAAAUUCUUAGACCUUCGGAAGACUAACAGCUGCAAAAGCGUUCCGCAAGGAUGUUCCCUUUAAUCAAGAACGAAAGU
RNAcentral lists this ribosomal RNA (423 nucleotides) under uncultured eukaryote. RNAcentral describes it as "bacterial SSU rRNA". It matches the Rfam family "Eukaryotic small subunit ribosomal RNA", at positions 567 to 990 of the family's 1831-position model. The record is from RNAcentral.